This 1056-nucleotide unclassified non-coding RNA is filed under the name Hevea brasiliensis (rubber tree). Lineage: Eukaryota; Viridiplantae; Streptophyta; Magnoliopsida; Malpighiales; Euphorbiaceae. The record is from RNAcentral.
GUCCCCAUCUAAACGUAGUCGAGUAGAAAGGAAGAUGGAUUAUGUAAUUUAUGUCCUUUUUGUCAUGCUCAUUUUGAUAUCGAUGGUAUCUUCUAUCGGUUCAGCUGUACUCACGAGAUCUUAUGCUGUUAAGUGGUAUUACCUUGAGGUGAAAAAUGGUACUGAUUCAUCUUUUGAUCCAUCAAAGCCGGUGGAAUCAUGGUUGUUGCAAUUCAUAAGGGCUUUAGUGUUGUAUGGAUACUUGAUACCGAUUUCUUUAUAUGUUUCGAUUGAAGUUGUGAAAGUUCUACAAGCUAUGCUCAUCAACAAGGACCAGAAGAUGUAUGAUGAUGUAACAGAUAAAUCAGUUGAGGCAAGGACUUCGAAUUUAAACGAGGAGCUUGGACAGGUGGAAAUGAUUCUGACUGACAAAACAGGCACACUGACUUGUAACCAAAUGGAAUUUAGGAAAUGUUCAAUUGAAGGGAUUUCGUAUGGGGGUGAGAUCACAGAAAUUGAUCUUGCAGCAUCGAGGAGAAUGAACGUUGAGGUGGAGAGAUAUCGGUUCAGUCUAGGUGGAUAUGAUCCCACUGGUCGAAGCCUAGAGAUGUUUGAGUUCUCAAUGGCUGAUACAACAACAGAGAAGAUGGCCCUUGGUUUCGAUAAAGGUAUGGAGACACCAAAUACAACAACUCCAAGAAAUUCUAUUACAAGAAGAGACAUGGCUAUUAAGGGAUUUAACUUCAGGGAUGAUAGACUAAUGGACAAAAUGUGGAUUAAUCGAUCUAAUGUAUCUGAUAUGAUGAUGUUCUUUCGCGUAAUGGCUCUAUGUCACACCGGUAUUCCUAUUGAAGAUGAGAGAAGGGAUAGAAUGAAAUAUGAGGCAGAGUCACCGGAGGAAGUAUCCUUUCUGAUAGCUGCACAAGAGUUUGGUUUCAAGUUCUGUCAUAGAACUCAGUCUGUGAUGAUUGUUGAAGAACUUGACCCUUCUUCCGGAAUGGAUGUUAAAAGGGAGUACAAGCUUUUGAAUCUUUUAGAAUUCAACAGCUCUAGAAAGAGGAUGUCUGUGAUAGUGAG